Molecule: ribosomal RNA, 492 nt
Filed under: uncultured bacterium
Lineage: Bacteria
Description: partial 16S ribosomal RNA
Rfam family: Bacterial small subunit ribosomal RNA
Source: RNAcentral
AGUGAACGCUGGCGGUAGGCCUAACACAUGCAAGUCGAACGGCAGCACAGUAAGAGCUUGCUCUUACGGGUGGCGAGUGGCGGACGGGUGAGGAAUACAUCGGAAUCUACUUUUUCGUGGGGGAAAACGAAGGGAAACUUACGCUAAUACCCCAUACGACCAACGGGGGAAACCAGGGGACCUUCGGACCUGCGCGGAUUGAUUGAGCCGAUGUCGGAUUAGCUAGUUGGCGGGGUAAAGGCCCACCAAGGCGACGAUCCGUAGCUGGUCUGAGAGGAUGAUCAGCCACACUGGAACUGAGACACGGUCCAGACUCCUACGGGAGGCAGCAGUGGGGAAUAUUGGACAAUGGGCGCAAGCCUGAUCCAGCCAUACCGCGUGGGUGAAGAAGGCCUUCGGGUUGUAAAGCCCUUUUGUUGGGAAAGAAAAGCAGCAGGUUAAUACCCCGCUGUUCUGACGGUACCCAAAGAAUAAGCACCGGCUAACUUCGUG